RNAcentral lists this ribosomal RNA (254 nucleotides) under uncultured bacterium. RNAcentral describes it as "partial 16S ribosomal RNA". It matches the Rfam family "Bacterial small subunit ribosomal RNA", at positions 524 to 776 of the family's 1533-position model. The record is from RNAcentral.
UACGUAGGUGGCAAGCAUUAUCCGGAAUUACUGGGCGUAAAGAGUUGCGCGGGUGGAAAAUCGCGUCGCAUCUUAAAAGGUGAGGCUCAACCUUACCCUUGGAUACGAUACGGGUUUUCUUGAGUGGACUAGGGGCAAGCGGAACUUUCGGUGGAGCAGUGAAAUGCGUUGAUAUCGAAAGGAACACCAAAGGCGUAGGCAGCUUGCUGGGGUUCUACUGACACUUAGGCACGAAAGCAUGGGGAGCGAACCGG